Molecule: ribosomal RNA, 507 nt
Filed under: uncultured bacterium
Lineage: Bacteria
Description: bacterial SSU rRNA
Rfam family: Bacterial small subunit ribosomal RNA
Source: RNAcentral
AGAGUUGAUCCUGGCUCAGGAUGAACGCUGGCGGCGUGCUUAACACAUGCAAGUCGAACGAAGCAUUAAGUAGAAGCUUCGGGUGGAAAUUAAAUGACUGAGUGGCGGACGGGUGAGUAACGCGUGGAUAACCUGCCUUGUGCAGGGGGAUAACAGUUAGAAAUGGCUGCUAAUACCGCAUAAGCCUACGCUAUCGCAUGAUAAAGUAGGAAAAGAUUUAUCGGUACAAGAUGGAUCCGCGUCUGAUUAGCUAGUUGGUGAGGUAACGGCUUACCAAGGCGAUGAUCAGUAGCCGACCUGAGAGGGUGACCGGCCACAUUGGGACUGAGACACGGCCCAAACUCCUACGGGAGGCAGCAGUGGGGAAUAUUGCACAAUGGGCGAAAGCCUGAUGCCAGCGACGCCGCGUGAGUGAAGAAGUAUUUCGGUAUGUAAAGCUCUAUCAGCAGGGAAGAUAAUGACGGUACCUGACUAAGAAGCCCCGGCUAACUACGUGCCAGCCGCGGC